This 366-nucleotide ribosomal RNA is filed under the name uncultured eukaryote. RNAcentral's name for it is "partial 18S ribosomal RNA". It matches the Rfam family "Eukaryotic small subunit ribosomal RNA", at positions 592 to 976 of the family's 1831-position model. The record is from RNAcentral.
CAAUAGCGUAUAUUAAAGUUGUUGCAGUUAAAAAGCUCGUAGUUGAAUUUCUGGCGGGCGCGCCGGUCUUCCAAGUGUUGUACUGGGCGCAGUCCGCCAUCCUUGUGGAGAGGGCUCGCAUUGAGUUGCGUGUCGGAUCUGCAUCAUUUACUGUGAAAAAAUUAGAGUGUUUAAAGCAGGCUGUCGCUUGAAUACAUUAGCAUGGAAUAAUAAGAUAGGACUUCGGUCUAUUUUGUUGGUUGCGAACCGAGGUAAUGAUUAAUAGGGAUAGUUGGGGGUAUUCAUAUUUAAUUGUCAGAGGUGAAAUCCUUGGAUUUAUGAAAGAUGAACAACUGCGAAAGCAUUUACCAAGGAUGUUUUCAUUAA